AAUACAAAAUUAUUCAAUGAGGCUACUUACUUACAUAUACGUAUUUCUACCUCUACAGUAAGGUUCUCUGCAGUAUCUCAUAAUGGACUCAACAUUCUUGAGGUUCUAUGGGGAAUCGUACAUACGACUUAUUGGCAAAAUUCCGCCUUUUUAAAAAAUAAAAUAUAGCCGGUGUUUUUUUUAUCAAUAACUGCUUGUUUUACAGCUCAUAGGCUACAUAUAAACAAACCACCAACGAUCAGGCAAUGAAGAUAUCAAACCAAACAAACACGUGAAUAAACCCACACCACCGCUAGAAGUCAGCUUUUGCGUCGUGGAUAUCAAAAGCAACCUGCGCUGAAAACACUUCAAAUCGUCAAUACACCACACCAUAUUCCACGGCGACAGCUGUGUUGAUGCCGGACUCUGCUGGUGGACUCGAGAUGCGUAGCGCACAAAUACUAGGAGCCAAGCGAUCACGCGUCCACAAAACAGAAACUGCGACCACCGAAAAAAAAGUUCAAUGUCAUCCAUCCGGGCAAGGGUAAUGAAGAUAAUGACUAUGAUGACUGGUGUUCCGAUUCGCGAUCUCCGCAUCGCGUUGUCGUUGUUGUGGUUCGCACUAGUUCGCAGUACUGCUCCUGCUGCUGUCAGGCCGAUAUCUUGCUGUAAUCGAUACCACUGGAUCCAUAUCAGUUUGACCGAGGUAGCUGAUAACCCAAAUCGCACCUAAUCAAAGGGGUUUAUUCUUCCACUUGGCACGGUGAGAUAUUAAACGACCAGUCGCCGGAUAAUUUCAUUUGCAAACGUUCCUCACUCCAAGUCAGUCCGGUUGAAGAAGGUUUCGCAAGUUGAACGCAAACAUGCUGCGCCAAGCGGUGAAAGUGAACAACUCUUUGGUGGUCAGUUCGGUUCGGUUCCGUAGUACUCAGGCCCAGGCUGCAACAAUUGAUAGUGCUGCGGACGAUGCCAGGGACCAGGAAUGGGACAGUGCCCUGCCCUACAGCAAAAUUCCCGGUCCGGGAGUGUUUGAGAUGCUGAAAAUUUUGCUCCAGGAGAUUAAGUUCAACACCACUUUUUCGUGAGAUGAAUAUCGGAGUUAUGAGAUGAAGUCCAUCAGCAGUAACCCUAUUUUUUCGCACAGUUGUGUAAAAAAAGUUGAUAUGAAUUCUUCAAUAAAAAUAGAUUGGUAAAUAUAAAAAA
Armigeres subalbatus is the source of this 1182-nucleotide long non-coding RNA. RefSeq lists it as uncharacterized. The transcript has 2 exons. Lineage: Eukaryota; Metazoa; Arthropoda; Insecta; Diptera; Culicidae. The record is from RefSeq and is a predicted model, not a curated record.